UGAUUUCUAUAGAGCAGUCUGGAUUUCAAAAGAGAGAAUACCAUUUGCUAAGAAAAAUCUGUGUUCAAAAACUGAAAAACAAAAUGAAACACAAUCAAAAACAACGCUAUAGAAGAUGUAACAUAAUAAAAGGACAUGGCUGAAUAGAUAACAUGAAAACAUGUGAUCGUGACGGAUGCUGUAUUUGCUCUCUGUGCCUGCGUUUCCUGCGCCCUUCCUCCCCAAGGGGCUGGCAUGAGUUAGAUGAGGAUGUCCUCACUUACUGUGAAGCAAAUUGUUCUCUUCAAUAGAGAAAAUAAACCCAGGCAAGUAAAAAUUUGACGUAAGAACAUAAUUUUAAGGAGAAAUUCUUUUAAUCAGUCUUCAGAAGUCACUUCCUGUAGAGAUUUAUAUAACGGUGGUUUAUCACUAAUUCAAUUAUGCUUCUGGAAUGGAUUGUGUUUUAAUUUUAGAAUUCCUUGAGCUUGGCUACAAGCUUAUGAGCACCGUAAGCCAUUCUCCAGGGCAUAAUUGUGACACAGCA
Molecule: long non-coding RNA, 523 nt
Filed under: Fukomys damarensis (Damara mole-rat)
Lineage: Eukaryota; Metazoa; Chordata; Mammalia; Rodentia; Bathyergidae
Description: lncRNA (ENSFDAG00000025856.1)
Source: RNAcentral